RNAcentral lists this non-coding RNA (28 nucleotides) under Homo sapiens (human). Lineage: Eukaryota; Metazoa; Chordata; Mammalia; Primates; Hominidae. The record is from RNAcentral.
UAAAGCCAACUGCUAUAGGACUGGCAAC